This 301-nucleotide ribosomal RNA is filed under the name uncultured bacterium. RNAcentral's name for it is "partial 16S ribosomal RNA". It matches the Rfam family "Bacterial small subunit ribosomal RNA", at positions 509 to 807 of the family's 1533-position model. The record is from RNAcentral.
CAGCCGCCGCGGGAAUACGUAGGGUGCAAGCGUUAAUCGGAAUUACUGGGCGUAAAGCGUGCGCAGGCGGUUUUGUAAGACAGAGGUGAAAUCCCCGGGCUCAACCUGGGAACUGCCUUUGUGACUGCAAGGCUAGAGUACGGCAGAGGGGGAUGGAAUUCCGCGUGUAGCAGUGAAAUGCGUAGAUAUGCGGAGGAACACCGAUGGCGAAGGCAAUCCCCUGGGCCUGUACUGACGCUCAUGCACAAAAGCGUGGGGAGCAAACAGGAUUAGAUACCCCUGUAGUCCCUGUCUCUUAUAC